AGAGUUUGAUCCUGGCUCAGGACGAACGCUGGCGGCGCGCCUAACACAUGCAAGUCGAACGGAGAAUGCAGGACUGAAGCCUUCGGGCGGAUGGCUUGUAUUCUUAGUGGCGGACGGGUGAGUAACACGUGAGCAACCUGCCUUCAAGAGGGGGGAUAGCACCUGGAAACGGGUGGUAAUACCGCAUAAGACCACAGCAUCGCAUGGUGCAGAGGUCAAAGGAGCAAUCCGCUUGAAGAUGGGCUCGCGUCCGAUUAGAUAGUUGGUGAGGUAACGGCUCACCAAGUCGACGAUCGGUAGCCGGACUGAGAGGUUGAACGGCCACAUUGGGACUGAGACACGGCCCAGACUCCUACGGGAGGCAGCA
RNAcentral lists this ribosomal RNA (367 nucleotides) under uncultured bacterium. Its description in RNAcentral is "bacterial SSU rRNA". It matches the Rfam family "Bacterial small subunit ribosomal RNA", at positions 8 to 353 of the family's 1533-position model. The record is from RNAcentral.